UACGGAAGGCAGCAGUGGGGAAUAUUGCACAAUGGGCGCAAGCCUGAUGCAGCCAUGCCGCGUGUAUGAAAAAGGCCUUCGGGUUGUAAAGUACUUUCAGUCGUGAGGAAGGUGUUAAGGUUAAUAACCUUAGCAAUUGACGUUAGCGACAGAAGAAGCACCGGCUAACUCCGUGCCAGCAGCCGCGGUAAUACGGAGGGUGCGAGCGUUAAUCGGAAUUACUGGGCGUAAAGGGCACGCAGGCGGUUAAUUAAGUUGGAUGUGAAAUCCUCGGGCUUAACCUGGGAAUGGCAUUCAAGACUGGUUAGCUAGAGUCUUGUAGAGGGGGUAGAAUUCCAUGUGUAGCGGUGAAAUGCGUAGAGAUGUGGAGGAAUACCGGUGGCGAAGGCGGCCCCUGGACAAAGACUGACGCUCAUGUGCGAAAGCGUGGGGAGCAAACAGGGAUUAGAUACC
RNAcentral lists this ribosomal RNA (453 nucleotides) under uncultured bacterium. RNAcentral describes it as "bacterial SSU rRNA". It matches the Rfam family "Bacterial small subunit ribosomal RNA", at positions 340 to 786 of the family's 1533-position model. The record is from RNAcentral.